This 780-nucleotide long non-coding RNA is filed under the name Erythranthe guttata (spotted monkey flower). Its description in RNAcentral is "long non-coding RNA (EGUT_LNC003802)". Lineage: Eukaryota; Viridiplantae; Streptophyta; Magnoliopsida; Lamiales; Phrymaceae. The record is from RNAcentral.
UUCAAAGAAGGCCCAAAUCAUAUCCCAAAUCACUCAUUACCCAACACUUCGUUUCAUAAAUGUCCUAAGGUGAGAUUUAAAACCGAACAAAGCAUGAUUGAGCACAAAUAAAUUCCAAAUUUAAAAUGCAAAACAUUCAACCAAAGCAAAGCACAAGGUGUGAUUCCUAGCAAUAAUUCACUUCUACGUUCCGUUGAAUCGAAAGCUAGACAAAUACAUACUCCUUAUCAACAUAAAACAAGUAGUUUCAUCAUCAAACAUUGACCAUCUACCAUCAUCGUAAUUCAUCGAUGCAUCGAACAAAUUUUUUUUUUUUCUUUUUUUUUUUUUUUUUAUUUUUUUUUUAUUUUUUUGUUUUUUCAUAAUAAAAACGAAAAUAAUAAAACGGCAACUAAAACAAAAACUAAAGCAUGCAAAAUAAAAUAAAAUAAAAAAAACACAAAUAAGGCGCACAUAAAAUAAAACAAGUAGUUAACCACCCCCAAACUUAAAAUUCACAUUGCCCUCAAUGUGAUUCGCCCGGAGUUUAAGGAUAGAAAACACCUGUUUUUAAGCGUCGGGACCAUCGUCGGGUUGUUGGAUUUUUAUCGGUUUUCUUGCCCUUCCCUUUGCUCUUUGAAGUGCAUUCGCCUUGUGAGGUGCCCUCCCCGUCACGUCCUCGUUUCCCCACUUUCUUGAACCCUCCUUGCACAAAUCAGCAACAAACAACCGAGAUAAGCAACAAUAUGUGUGUAGUUGGUGAAUUUUCGGUGAAAUUGUUCAAGAAAGUCGAAAAUUUUG